RNAcentral lists this transfer RNA (73 nucleotides) under Stereum hirsutum FP-91666 SS1. RNAcentral describes it as "tRNA-Asp (GTC) (tRNA-Asp-GTC-3-1)". It matches the Rfam family "tRNA". Rfam says of the family: Transfer RNA (tRNA) molecules are approximately 80 nucleotides in length. Their secondary structure includes four short double-helical elements and three loops (D, anti-codon, and T loops). Further hydrogen bonds mediate the characteristic L-shaped molecular structure. tRNAs have two regions of fundamental functional importance: the anti-codon, which is responsible for specific mRNA codon recognition, and the 3' end, to which the tRNAs corresponding amino acid is attached (by aminoacyl-tRNA synthetases). tRNAs cope with the degeneracy of the genetic code in two manners: having more than one tRNA (with a specific anti-codon) for a particular amino acid; and 'wobble' base-pairing, i.e. permitting non-standard base-pairing at the 3rd anti-codon position. RNAcentral also lists the same sequence under 1 other name. Lineage: Eukaryota; Fungi; Basidiomycota; Agaricomycetes; Russulales; Stereaceae. The record is from Rfam by way of RNAcentral.
UCCCUGGUAGUAUAUCGGUUUAGUACACGCGCCUGUCACGCGCGAAAGCGGGGUUCGACUCCCCGCCAGGGAG